GAUGAACGCUAGCGGCAGGCCUAACACAUGCAAGUCGAGGGAGAAGCCCUUUCGGGGGCAGAAACCGGCGCACGGGUGCGUAACGCGUAUGCAACCUACCUUUCACAGGGGGAUAGCCCGAAGAAAUUUGGAUUAAUACCCCAUAAUAUUGUUGGAUGGCAUCAUUUGGCAAUUAAAACUGCGGUGGUGAAAGAUGGGCAUGCGUCCUAUUAGCUAGUUGGAGUGGUAACGGCACCCCAAGGCUACGAUAGGUAGGGGUCCUGAGAGGGAGAUCCCCCACACUGGUACUGAGACAGGGACCAGACUCCUACGGGAGGCAGCAGUGAGGAAUAUUGGUCAAUGGUCGGAAGACUGAACCAGCCAUGCCGCGUGCAGGAAGAAUGCCUUAUGGGUUGUAAACUGCUUUUAUAUGGGAAGAAUAAGGCGUACGUGUACGUUGAUGACGGUACCAGAUGAAUAAGCAUCGGCUAACUCCGUG
Molecule: ribosomal RNA, 478 nt
Filed under: uncultured bacterium
Lineage: Bacteria
Description: partial 16S ribosomal RNA
Rfam family: Bacterial small subunit ribosomal RNA
Source: RNAcentral